CAGGCUUAACACAUGCAAGUCGAGCGGUAACAUUUCUAGCUUGCUAGAAGAUGACGAGCGGCGGACGGGUGAGUAAUACUUAGGAAUCUACCUAGUAGUGGGGGAUAGCUCGGGGAAACUCGAAUUAAUACCGCAUACGACCUACGGGAGAAAGGGGGCAGUUUACUGCUCUCGCUAUUAGAUGAGCCUAAGUCGGAUUAGCUAGAUGGUGGGGUAAAGGCCUACCAUGGCGACGAUCUGUAGCUGGUCUGAGAGGAUGAUCAGCCACACCGGAACUGAGACACGGUCCGGACUCCUACGGGAGGCAGCAGUGGGGAAUAUUGGACAAUGGGGGCAACCCUGAUCCAGCCAUGCCGCGUGUGUGAAGAAGGCCUUUUGGUUGUAAAGCACUUUAAGCAGUGAAGAAGACUCCGUGGUUAAUACCCACGGACGAUGACAUUAGCUGCAGAAUAAGCACCGGCUAACUCUGUGCCAGCAGCCGCGGUAAUACAGAGGGUGCAAGCGUUAAUCGGAAUUACUGGGCGUAAAGCGAGCGUAGGUGGCUUGAUAAGUCAGAUGUGAAAUCCCCGGGCUUAACCUGGGAACUGCAUCUGAUACUGGUAGGCUAGAGUAGGUGAGAGGAAGGUAGAAUUCCAGGUGUAGCGGUGAAAUGCCUAGAGAUCUGGAGGAAUACCCGAUGGCGAAGGCAGCCUUCUGGGAUUCAUACUGACACUUAAGCUCGAAAGCGUGGGUAGCAAACAGGAAUAAGAUACCCUGGUAGGUCCACGCCC
Molecule: ribosomal RNA, 770 nt
Filed under: Psychrobacter sp. Gbf-Ret-14.2
Lineage: Bacteria; Pseudomonadati; Pseudomonadota; Gammaproteobacteria; Moraxellales; Moraxellaceae
Description: bacterial SSU rRNA
Rfam family: Bacterial small subunit ribosomal RNA
Source: RNAcentral